CCUACGGGAGGCUGCAGUGGGGAAUAUUGGACAAUGGGCGAAAGCCUGAUCCAGCCAUGCCGCGUGUGUGAAGAAGGCCUUCGGGUUGUAAAGCACUUUCAGUGGGGAAGAAAGCCUUGGGGCUAAUACCUUCGAGGAAGGACAUCACCCACAGAAGAAGCACCGGCUAACUCCGUGCCAGCAGCCGCGGUAAUACGGAGGGUGCGAGCGUUAAUCGGAAUUACUGGGCGUAAAGCGCGCGUAGGCGGUCUGAUAAGCCGGUUGUGAAAGCCCCGGGCUCAACCUGGGAACGGCAUCCGGAACUGUCAGGCUAGAGUGCAGUAGAGGAAGGUAGAAUUCCCUGUGUAGCGGUGAAAUGCGUAGAGAUCGGGAGGAAUACCAGUGGCGAAGGCGACCAUCUGGACUGACACUGACGCUGAGGUGCGAAAGCGUGGGUAGCAAACAGGAUUAGAUACCCCGGUAGUC
This 465-nucleotide ribosomal RNA is filed under the name Vreelandella stevensii. RNAcentral describes it as "partial 16S ribosomal RNA". It matches the Rfam family "Bacterial small subunit ribosomal RNA", at positions 338 to 795 of the family's 1533-position model. Lineage: Bacteria; Pseudomonadati; Pseudomonadota; Gammaproteobacteria; Oceanospirillales; Halomonadaceae. The record is from RNAcentral.